GAAAUAGGGCGCUGGCUUUGCCAGGAGCGGCUCCUCUCCAAGCCUGGCGGUCACUGCCCUGUGUCCCCUUUUGGGCCUCUCCUGGUCCUCCUGGUUGGAUUAGGAGGCCUCUCAGCCCGGAGUCUGGGUCGCCGAAGUACAGGCCCCUUCACUGAAGCGACCCACGGCGCAGGGGUUUCUGGAAGCCAUCGCCAGGCUCCGAGUGUUCAGAUGCAGCUGCCAGGCUCAGGACGCAGAGAACUGGCUUCCAGCUCGCAGGAGCGCCUGUCCGUGGUGGGUAGGGUCGCAGGCGUGGGGUGUGCAGGAGCAGUGGGACAGCACUGAAACGCAGUCGGAAGAGAUACCACGGUGUGCAGGCACAGGGAAAAGACCACGUGAGGACACAGAGAGAAGACGGCCGUCUGCAAGCCAAGGAGAGAGGCCUCAGGUGAAACCAAACCUGCAGGCACCUUGAUCUUGGACUUCCAGCCUCCAGAAGCUUGAGAAAAGAAAUUUCUGUUGUUUAAGACACCCAUUCUGUGGUAUUUGUUCUGGCAGCCCUAACAAACUAAUAUAGGGAUCUAAAGAUUCCUUGUCUUCAUUUUGAGUAAGAGACUAUAAACUCAGAACUGUGGAGAUCUAGUUAGGUAUUGUACAGCUAGCCUCAUUCUGUCUUAAACUCCAGGUAAAAGAGAAAAAUAUGGAGACAGCCCCUGACUUUGGAGAACUUGCAGUUUUGUGGAGGUGAAAGGAGGCAGCCACAAGAAAAACCCCUGACAUCAAUUCAAAACUAUAAAUAACAAAGACUAACUUGUUCUAUGCACAACAGGUACUACAGCACUGUCCAACAUGGGGACAUGUGAGUGGCCUGAAGCAGCACAAGAACUGGGCAAUAAACUUGAGAUGAACCUCAAAGCAUCAAUAUUAUUCAUGACUAAACUGGGUUCUAAGAAUUUCUAUUUUUACUCUCAGUGUUCAGUAGAGGUCAUUAAAAAAAAAUCUAGCAAUUUUUUUUUCUAAAAUGAAUAUGUAAUAAGAAUGAAAAACAAAAAGCACUAUAAUGUUUUUAAUUAAUGAAAUGCCUUUACGAACCAAGGUGCCAUCUUGGAGAAGCUAGGCAUUAUGAGGAGCUAUCAGGAGCACAUUUGCUAACAGCUUGGCAUGAGCAGGAUUUUCUUGACCAACUGGCAAGAUGGGGCUGCUCAGCUCCUGCUGGCAGAUUUUUAUGGAGCAUAGUUUUACAAAUUCAGCCUACAACUCUGAUACGUUCCAAUGUAUUUUAAACAUCUAUUCAGUUGCAACUCUAAUCCCAGGAACCUGUGGCUAACAGAAGGCAGAUUUAACUGACUAGCAGCUGUGGGAUUUUCAAAGUCUAAACUGAAAUGAACAUGCGAAACAGUUGGACUACCCCAAAAGCUGAAUUACAAUUCCAGCACUCACCAGCUCUGAAACCUCACUUGGUUACCUAACGCCUCUGUGCCUCAGUUCCCCAGCUAUAAAAUGGAAAAGGCAACAAUACCAACCUUGUAGAUUAUGUUUUGGAUUAAAUGAGGCAACACAUACACAGCACUUAGAACGUGCAAGGCACAAUGGAAGCAUGCAGUGAACAUGACUUGUAAUGAUGCUGACUGUCAUAACUCUCAUCCAUAGGGAUGCUGCCUCUGCUUGUCACCCUUGACCUAUAUAUUUUCAGGCAGUCCUCACCCAGUCCCCAUUUGUGUGUUCUAGAUAGAAAAGGCCCCAUACUAUGAAAUGACUACUGUCCUUCUGCAUGAAGCCUGGUGAACCUGAUAAUGUAGCCUUCAAGUUCCCUUACUGAGCCUUGAGCUCCCUUCAAAGUAUCCAAGCCAACCCUGUCUUGGGAAACUCACCUAGAUAAUGCCCUGAACCCCAAUAAAGGCUCCAGCCCACAGGUCCCUCCCUCUCUCUUGGUCCCCACCCUUUGGCUGGGCAUGUGUGUCCUCAAUGUCUCCAAGCCCUUCCAGUAAGCCCUGCAAGGUGUGCUGGCCACUGUUCUCUGGAAUCUGUGAGUAAUAAACAAUCUUUUUGCCAUUCUGCUC
Molecule: long non-coding RNA, 2039 nt
Filed under: Homo sapiens (human)
Lineage: Eukaryota; Metazoa; Chordata; Mammalia; Primates; Hominidae
Description: HSALNT0262772
Source: RNAcentral